This 38-nucleotide ribosomal RNA is filed under the name Tortula truncata. RNAcentral describes it as "Pottia truncata partial 26S ribosomal RNA". The record is from RNAcentral. RNAcentral also lists the same sequence under 45 other names. Lineage: Eukaryota; Viridiplantae; Streptophyta; Bryopsida; Pottiales; Pottiaceae.
CAGACCUCUGAUCAGAAAAGACUACCCGCUGAGUUUAA